UGAACGCUGGCGGCGUGCCUACUACAUGCACAUCGAGCGAACAGAUGAGGAGCUUGCUCCUCUGACGUUAGCGGCGGACGGGUGAGUAACACGUGGAUAACCUACCUAUAAGACUGGGAUAACUUCGGGAAACCGGAGCUAAUACCGGAUAAUAUAUUGAACCGCAUGGUUCAAUAGUGAAAGACGGUUUUGCUGUCACUUAUAGAUGGAUCCGCGCCGCAUUAGCUAGUUGGUAAGGUAACGGCUUACCAAGGCGACGAUGCGUAGCCGACCUGAGAGGGUGAUCGGCCACACUGGAACUGAGACACGGUCCAGACUCCUACGGGAGGCAGCAGUAGGGAAUCUUCCGCAAUGGGCGAAAGCCUGACGGAGCAACGCCGCGUGAGUGAUGAAGGUCUUCGGAUCGUAAAACUCUGUUAUUAGGGAAGAACAAAUGUGUAAGUAACUAUGCACGUCUUGACGGUACCUAAUCAGAAAGCCACGGCUAACUACGUG
Molecule: ribosomal RNA, 495 nt
Filed under: uncultured bacterium
Lineage: Bacteria
Description: partial 16S ribosomal RNA
Rfam family: Bacterial small subunit ribosomal RNA
Source: RNAcentral